This 1718-nucleotide long non-coding RNA is filed under the name Heterocephalus glaber (naked mole-rat). RNAcentral describes it as "lncRNA (ENSHGLG00000046372.1)". The record is from RNAcentral. Lineage: Eukaryota; Metazoa; Chordata; Mammalia; Rodentia; Bathyergidae.
GCUCUACCAUCCAGUUGUACAUAAUGUUCUAGAUAGGUAAGUUAAUUAGAUAUCUUGUGUGCAGUUAGACAGGACCAGCCCCCCAGGAGCCAAUACAGCAAGGAACCCACAUGGAGAACAAUUGAGGCACAUUCACUGGUUAGCAUUAUAAAAGGAAGAGGCACUACUUCCCCUAGAGAUAGACAGCAGUGAUUGAUAUUCUAAAUGGGAAAUUCCUUGUAUGGAUUUGUCAUCCCAUUUGACCCCCAUUUAAUCAAUAUUACCUGGGUGAUUGUACUUGUAAUCUUAUUGGUUGGUCAUGGAUUUGUCCCACCUCAUGCCCACCUGUAAACUUCCAUUGGGUCUUAUAGCUUUGUCCCACUUUGUACCCAGCUCACAACAUGGCUGUGCUGUAUAAAAUAUCUUUGAAAAGUGGGGUGAGUGGGCAACCCACUUUCUGGUCCCCCUUCUGUCUCUCUCAGGUAGAAGCUUUCUUUCUCCCAAUAAAGUUUUCUUACUCUUAAUCCCCAUUGUUCCUAGAAUUCAUCCUUCGAUUUUAGAGAACACGAACUCAUGUUUUGGAUAUCUAGUAGGUUUGGGAGUUACAUCUCUUUCCCUUAUAUCAUUUUGGAGGUCUUCCACCGAGAGUACUGGUCAGAGAUUAGAAGUUCCAUAUCCGAACCUCUUAUUCCUUUGGAAUGUAUUAUUUCUACACCCAUGUGUGUUGUGCCUACCCCCUAAAGCCAAGUACACAGAGGAAAGUACUACGAUGCUAUCUCACAAUUAGAAUUAUACUGUAAAAGAGAAAAUGGUCAAAACCAUCUUAUGUUGAGAUUUGCUUUACAUUAGGAAUUCUUGCUUGUGUUCAAAUGUAAAUGUGGGCCAUAGAAAAAUGAGAGACACCUCACCUUUAGGCAUUCAGUACAUCUAAGCCUGAGGCUACUCCUCGCCCUAACCAGCAGGUGCUGACGGUGGAAUAUCUAGGCCAGCCUUGAUUAAUCUCUGAGGCUAUAUCCAUCCUGAGCUAAGUUGUUCAUGUCCCUCAAAGACAACAUCCCUUGCAGGAAUUAAGUGGCAAAUAUGGGACUACAUGUGUUCAUGUGUCUUUUUCUCUCAGUGAUCUAAGACAGAGUAAAUGAGGCCUAAGAAAGUUUUCAGAUGAUCCUGAUGCAUUGAGAUCUUUUGAAGAAUUUACUCAGACCUAUGGACUAGAUUAGAAAGGUGUAAUGUUGCUCUUAAAUCAAACAUGGAUUUCUAAUGAGAGACAAGCAGUAUCACAAGCUACUACUACAUGUAGGGACAAACGUUAUCUUAAUUUUGGAAGCUCAAAACACAGGCAACCAGGGGAACAACUGGGUCCUACUGGAACACAAGCAGUUCCUACACAAGCCCCCACUGGCCUGCCAAUCAGAUAGGAGAUUAAAUAGAAGACAUUUUCAGGCAUGUGUUCUUGAAGGUCUAAGAAAGAUGAGAACUAAGCCCUUCAAUUAUUUUAAAUUGCCAACUAUUUAUCAGGAAAAAUAUGAGGACAUCCCUAGAUCCUGACUUGAUAAAAGGAAAUGCUAUAGUUUUUCCCAAGUCACAGUCUUGCAAUAUGUAGAUGGUAGGCUGUUAUGUGCCCCCUCAGAAGAGCUUUCUAGCCAAGACAUUUGCUCUGCUGAAUUUUCUAACAGACAGAGGUUAUAAUGUUUCUAGAUCUAAGGCACAAGUUUGCAGCCUUGAGGUAAAAUAUUUAGGCC